This 667-nucleotide ribosomal RNA is filed under the name Salmonella enterica. RNAcentral's name for it is "partial 23S ribosomal RNA". It matches the Rfam family "Bacterial large subunit ribosomal RNA", at positions 711 to 1290 of the family's 2925-position model. Lineage: Bacteria; Pseudomonadati; Pseudomonadota; Gammaproteobacteria; Enterobacterales; Enterobacteriaceae. RNAcentral also lists the same sequence under 3 other names. The record is from RNAcentral.
AGACCCGAAACCCGGUGAUCUAGCCAUGGGCAGGUUGAAGGUUGGGUAACACUAACUGGAGGACCGAACCGACUAAUGUUGAAAAAUUAGCGGAUGACCUGUGGCUGGGGGUGAAAGGCCAAUCAAACCGGGAGAUAGCUGGUUCUCCCCGAAAGCUAUUUAGGUAGCGCCUCGUGAAUUCAUCUCCGGGGGUAGAGCACUGUUUCGGCUAGGGGGCCAUCCCGGCUUACCAACCCGAUGCAAACUGCGAAUACCGGAGAAUGUUAUCACGGGAGACACACGGCGGGUGCUAACGUCCGUCGUGAAGAGGGAAACAACCCAGACCGCCAGCUAAGGUCCCAAAGUCAUGGUUAAGUGGGAAACGAUGUGGGAAGGCCCAGACAGCCAGGAUGUUGGCUUAGAAGCAGCCAUCAUUUAAAGAAAGCGUAAUAGCUCACUGGUCGAGUCGGCCUGCGCGGAAGAUGUAACGGGGCUAAACCAUGCACCGAAGCUGCGGCAGCGAACGUAUCACCCAAGACAACUUUACGGAGUUGACGAUUGACGGAGCGAAGCGACGUCAAAGCGUUCAUUAAAGUCGAGUUGGCUUAGGGAUACGUUCGUUGGGUAGGGGAGCGUUCUGUAAGCCUGUGAAGGUGUGUCGUGAGGCAUGCUGGAGGUAUCAGAAGUG